RNAcentral lists this long non-coding RNA (505 nucleotides) under Gossypium barbadense (sea-island cotton). RNAcentral's name for it is "long non-coding RNA (GBAR_LNC017376)". The record is from RNAcentral. Lineage: Eukaryota; Viridiplantae; Streptophyta; Magnoliopsida; Malvales; Malvaceae.
AUGCUUUGAUUAUACUAGUAAAGGCAAAGGUUUAUUAUACUGUAACACCCCUAACCCGUGUCCGUCGCCAGAAUAGGGUUACGAGUAUUACCAAUCGAAACACAACAUUCAGCAUUCAUUUCUCAAUCAAAUAAUCCAACAUUAAUAAAUAUCAUUCAAUCAUACACAUAUUGUCCCUUUUAGAAGUCUACGAGACCUUAAACAUACAUUAGAGAAGGUUCGGGACUAAACUAAUCACAUAUAAAAAUUUUCGAAACUUGUAAAAAUUUUCUAAGUAACAAAGGUCACAUGGUCGAAUUAUACACCAUGUGCUCAGACCAUGUGGCACAAAAAUAGACUUGAUUUAAGCCACUUUUCUCACCUUUCAAAUGCGGCAUUAAGAACUCCAUAUUAUGAUCAAGCAUAUUUCAUUAAACAUUAAAAUCUUAUGUACAUUUAACCACAUCGAAAUAAAUCAUUCAAGCAUGAUCAUGUGCACUCAUUGCCAUUCAUUCUAUACUCUAUU